Molecule: ribosomal RNA, 348 nt
Filed under: Triticum aestivum (bread wheat)
Lineage: Eukaryota; Viridiplantae; Streptophyta; Magnoliopsida; Poales; Poaceae
Description: partial small subunit ribosomal RNA
Source: RNAcentral
AUGAAGAUUAGUGAAUGGAAAGAGAAGAUGUUAUCGGCUGGUGGAAAGGAAAUUUUGCUUAAGUCUGUUGUUCAAACUAUCCCAACAUAUGCAAUGUCCGUCUUUAAAAUUUCUAAAAAAAAUUGCAAAGGAAUCAUAGACGCGAUGUCGCAAUUCUGGUGGGGUGACGAGGACAAUCAGAAAAGGAUGCACUGGAUGGCGUGGUGGAAGAUGUGUGUUCCAAAAGACCAAGGUGGAAUGGGUUUCCGUGAUAUACACUGUUUUAACCUGGCUUUUGACCCAAAACUAAGCACCUCUCCCAUUGCAAGAAGAAUCAAUCUAGUUGGCAAAACCAAACCAGUAAUUUGA